CCUACGGGUGGCAGCAGUGAGGAAUAUUGGUCAAUGGACGAAAGUCUGAACCAGCCAAGUCGCGUGAAGGACGACGGCCCUAUGGUUUGUAAACUUCUUUUGUAGGGGAGUAAAACUAUGCACGUGUCCCUAUUUGCAUGUACGGUAUGAAUAAGGAUCGUCUAACUCCGUUCCAGCCGCCGCGGUAAUACGGAGGAUACGAGCGUUGUCCGGAUUUAUUGGGUUUAAGGGGAGCGUAGAUGGUUAGUUAAGUCAGAUGUGAAAGUUUGCGGCUCAACCGGAAAAUUGCAUUUGAUACUGGCGAACUUGAGUGCAGAUGAGGUGGGCGGAAUGCGUGGUGUAGCGGUGAAAUGCAUAGAUAUAACGAAGAACACCGAUGGCGAAGGCAGCUUACUAAGCUGCAACUGACACUGAUGCACGAAAGCGUGGGUAUCAAACAGGAUUAGAUACCCGAGUAGUC
This 460-nucleotide ribosomal RNA is filed under the name uncultured bacterium. Its description in RNAcentral is "partial 16S ribosomal RNA". It matches the Rfam family "Bacterial small subunit ribosomal RNA", at positions 338 to 795 of the family's 1533-position model. The record is from RNAcentral.